RNAcentral lists this ribosomal RNA (458 nucleotides) under uncultured bacterium. RNAcentral describes it as "partial 16S ribosomal RNA". It matches the Rfam family "Bacterial small subunit ribosomal RNA", at positions 338 to 795 of the family's 1533-position model. The record is from RNAcentral.
CCUACGGUAGGCUGCAGUGAGGAAUAUUGGUCAAUGGGCGAGAGCCUGAACCAGCCAAGUCGCGUGAGGGAGUACUGCCCUAUGGGUUGUAAACCUCUUUUGUCGGGGAGCAAAAGCCGGACGUGUCCGGCUUUGAGAGUACCCGAAGAAAAAGCAUCGGCUAACUCCGUGCCAGCAGCCGCGGUAAUACGGAGGAUGCGAGCGUUAUCCCGAUUUAUGGGGUUUAAAGGGUGCGCAGGCGGAUUUUUAAUUCAGCGGUCAAAUCGUGGGGCUCAACCCCAUCCAGCCGUUGAAACUGGGGAUCUAGAGUGUGCGAGAGGUAUGCGGAAUGCGUGGUGUAGCGGUGAAAUGCAUAGAUAUCACGCAGAACCCCGAUUGCGAAGGCAGCAUACCGGUGCACAACUGACGCUCAGGCACGAAAGCGUGGGUAUCGAACAGGAUUAGAUACCCUUGUAGUC